GAAAAGAAAAGGAGAUAGAAGCAGGCGCAGUCCCUGGAGCUGCUGUCCUUGCUUUCUACCACCUUCUCUGUGUCAGACUUGACAAAAUGUCUCUCUUCUGACCAUGGAUCAAAGCUAUUUUCAUCAUUGCCUUGGUAUUUCCUCUUUAUUCCGAAAUUUAUUGUGAACGUGAUUUCAGAUAUCCGCCAGACUGUCAACUGUAUACAGAAGUUUGCACCAGAGAAUAUGAUCCAAUCUGUGCAAGUGAUGGAAAAACCUACAGCAAUGAAUGUACUUUCUGCAUUGAAAAGAUGUACGUACACAAUAGUAAAUGUUUGGUCUUCCAAGGUAUGAAGAAAUCAUCACAAGAUGAUGGUAAAUCUGUGUUGCUGAUUGUACCAAGGCACAAUAUAUGUAUAUAGAAAAUAACUGUAAGUUCAUUGUAAAAUAUUAGGGGCCACUGUUGUUUCUUUCCCUGAAGUUCUUGUUUCUGAAAGUAAUUUUGUGUUUGAGCUAUCAAUAACUUUGAUUGAUACUGUGCAAAUGUGUAAACAAUUAAUUUAACUUAAUUAUGAGUUACUAAUGGCAGACUAACAACCAAUAUAAUGUAAUUCCAGAGCCCAGAUGCAGAAUGAUAGCUCUCUGUGGUGGCCAUGUGAUUGACCCUUGCAGAUUUAGCUGAAGGGAGCAUAAUUGUUCAAGAACCAAACAGACCACUGAAUUCAGAAAUUUAUCAUAAUCAGCCCAUUCAUGUUAGAAAAGGACUCCUGUCAAGGUUGACUAUGUCUCAAAAACUGUGUGUGUGUGUUAGUCACUCAGUCGUGUCCAACCCUUUGAGAUCCCAUGAACUGUAGCCUGCCAGGUUCCUCUAUCCAUGCAAUUUUCCAGACAAUACUGGAGUGGUUGCCAUUCCCUUCUCCAGGGGACCUUUCCGACCAAGGAAUCAAACUCGGGUCUCCUACAGUGCAGGCAGAUGCUUUACCUUCUGAGCCACGAUGACAGCCUCCAAAGCUUCCCUGGAGAGCAGGGCAUUCUAGAGCACCUCUAUCUAAUCUCCCUUUCUGCCUCCUUCCUUUGAGGGAGUCUGCAGUCUAAAGGUUCAGCCAGCCUUUCUACCUCCUGCCUCAUUUCCUCUCAUGGGGUAUUUCCUCUCACAAAAUCUUUGCACAUUUAAUCCCCAAAGAGGCAUGUGUUUCUGGAAGACUGCUGAGAUAGUCUCCAAUCUCUCCUCUCUCAGAUCUGGGUGGGUCCCAAACCUGGAUCAGGACUGAGAACACAGGAAGAGUCAGGUGGGCCCAGAUGGGGACAGGACAUGUGCCAGGCCCUAGGAGCAAGCAGAGUCCAGUUGCUUCUGCAAGUGGAACACUGCCACUCUAUCUUGUUCCACUUUCAAAUCCUCCUUAUUGAAAAGAUUUUUGGAGUUUUUGUGUUUAACAUCCAAACUCUAUUCUGCAUGCAUAUUAUCUACAUUUCUGUACCACAGAAAUGACUCCAAUCUGUACAAGCUACGGUAGAACUCACAGCAUUGAGUGUAAUUUUCUCAGUGAUACUAUACUGGCAGUUUAAAAUAUUCCUUUUUAAAUAAAAAUUUAUGGUGGGGUAAUUUUAGAUUUACAGAGAAAUUUCAAAGAUAGUACCAAGUUUUUGUAUCCUUUAUCCAGUUUCUCCUAAGAUUAACUCCUUAUGGAAAUCUGGCUCAUGUGUCAAAAGUAACAAAUUAACUUUGGUUUAUCACUAUUAACUAAUCUACAGAAUUUGUUUGGAUUUCACCAGUUUUUCCAUUAAUAUCCUUUUUAAUUUUUUUAAGUGUAAUGUACUUUAUUUCUUCCUUAAAACUCUAAUUGUUUCCUCUCUUUCUUUAUAGGAAUAAUGAUACCGAUAUUUAUUUUCAAUAUUUUGGUGAAUGUGAAUAUUGAUGAAGCAACUCAUAAUUUGGUUUUUAUUGUAAUUACAUUUUGUGGUGCAUUCUACAGGCAAUUAGAGUCUUCUCAAUCAGAAGCUGACCAGGUCAAUUCUAUGAAACAAGAGCUAUUGAUAGAAUAUAGAGCAUUCAGAUUCUUUCCAAAAUUAAUUUUUUAUGAUUUCAGGAUUUUCAUUCUUUGUGUUCAAUUUAUUCAGUGGUAGUUUGAAAAACUAAUGUCAUUUGCAUGCUUGAUAACAUAAA
Dama dama (fallow deer) is the source of this 2143-nucleotide long non-coding RNA. RefSeq lists it as uncharacterized. The record is from RefSeq and is a predicted model, not a curated record. The transcript has 4 exons. Lineage: Eukaryota; Metazoa; Chordata; Mammalia; Artiodactyla; Cervidae.